RNAcentral lists this long non-coding RNA (2305 nucleotides) under Coturnix japonica (Japanese quail). RNAcentral describes it as "lncRNA (ENSCJPG00005013017.1)". The record is from RNAcentral. Lineage: Eukaryota; Metazoa; Chordata; Aves; Galliformes; Phasianidae.
AUGGCAGAGAGAAUCCCUCGAGGAGCGCUGACGGUGCCUGUGACGCCUGAAGCCACUUUCCCUCAAGCCACUGUGCCGCCACCGGACCCCGCCUGGAUGCAGCCCACCAUCCGCGGACCGAUGCCGGUACCACCCCAACCCCUCCCUGUCCCCAGUACCAGGUGUCUGGGGACAGGCAGCACAGCAGCUGCUGCCUGGGGGGCUGCACCCACCGAUGGCUCCCCCCGCUGCCCCUGCUCACUGCUGGGGACAUCCCCUGCUGGCAGGGACGCUGCUGCCCCAGCAGCCCAUGGGGCUGUGGCCUGGGGCCGUGCCCCAUGCAGAGCCCCCGCAGGCACCUGCCUGCCGCAGGCCCCCGGCCGCCCCGGCCCCCCGCCACUUCUUUUGCAGGUACCGGCACUGCAGCAGCUGCAGCAGCAGGUGCUCCCCGUGCCCUGCACCCUGCCCGCCAGCUGGGAGCCGCCCAUGGAGCCCUUGCAAGACGCCGUGCUGCUCAUGGAGGACCAGGGGCACCCAGCGCCCACCCAUGGCUGCCCCCAUCCUGACACGGCUCCGCUCACCUGCAGCGCUGCCACGCCGCAAUCAGGCCCAGGGACAACAAGCGCAGGCACCCCGCAGGACAUGGCAGACAUCGAUGAUCUGCUGGCAUGGAUCAACCACGAAGUCACAUCCGAGACGGCCAUCCUGGACGACAGCGCAGACUUUGACCAGCUGCUGACGUGGAUCAGCCAGGAAGAGACACCCAGCAGCAACAGACGUGAGGACGACAUGGAAAUGGACAGUUUCCUCACCUGGAUUCUUGAAGCGACGAGUGCUCUGGAGGUCCCCCAGCACAACCAGGGCCUGCCUGCAGUCACAAGAGAGGGGACCAAAGAGAAUGAGAACGCGCAAGAGGAAAAUCAUGCUGACAAGCUGCUGGCAGAACUGGACAGCUGCAAAAGGGAAGGGCUGAUGCAGUGCAUCGCUGCCAUGGGGCCAGAUGUCUCCAGCAGCCUGGGCUCUUCUUCCAACACAGAGCACCCUGACUCCCCGGGGGCCAGCAGGGAGCUCAGCAAAGAGCCCGAUCCUGAAUCAGGGCUCCUCGCAAACCCGCUCUGGCGGCAGCCAGCAUCGCCUGAGCUGCCUGAGCCGACCCCCCUGGCUGCCCCCGCACCUCCGUCGCCCCGCACCGCACAUCUGAUGGAAGAGGCACGGCGGAGGCAGCCCCGGGUGCAUCUCACCCACCUGGAACUGCCCACCCCCCUGGCUGCCCCCACACCUCCAUUGCCCUGCACUGCACGUCUGAUGGAGGAGGCACAGUGCUGAGUGCUGCUCAGCCGCCUGGCACUGCCACCCAGGUGCAUCUCCUGCCAGCUGGCAGACAAGCACCACGGGGACAGCAGCCAAACGGCCUAGUGCCCAGCACCCACCUGCACCACCACAAGAGGCAAAAGCAGCGGGCACAAGCAGCACACUGGCAGUGUCCCCGCCACAACCAGGAAGCCACCGCGCUGCCAGCAUGUUCCAGGCCACAAACACCGGCGCCAGGCGGAGCUGCCUGUGUCAGCACGGCGGCCAGCAGGAGGACUCGGUGCCCAUCACACCCCAACAGCGGCUCCAGCAGGAGCGGACCAGGAAACCGGCCCACUUGGUGGAGCAGGAGACGUGGCCGUAACCGACCAAGGCGCUUCCCUGUAGCCCUGGGCUCCUGGCCGGCCCCCACCACACCCAGAGAGCAGCGGCAGUGUUCCAGGGGCACCAGCACCAGCCCCAGCCCUACCCCUCCCAAACUGGGCUGUCCACAAACGGCAUCUUGGACUGGGGCACUGCGGGGCUCUGAAGCUGAUGGACCGACAAAGCGUUGCACUGUCAAAGCUCCGGGCUGGGAAAUGCUGGGUGGGGGGUGGGAAAUGGUUGGGGGGGGAAGGGGUGGGAAUUCUUGGGGUGGCCAAUAUUAGGGUGGAGGAUGGCUGGCGGGUGGGAAUUGGGGGUGGGGAAUUGUUGGGGUGGGGGAGUGGUUAAAGAGUGGGAGUGGUUAAAGGGACUCUGUAACUGCUGGCACUGGGGAUGUGGGGAGGGGGAGGGAACUUGGUGGGGUGGCAAUUCUGGGGGAGAAAUUGUACUCUGAUAAUGUUACACUCUGAAAUUCAGUGUUGCAAUUUGGAGGAAGGAAUUAUUGGGGUGGGAAUCUGGAGGGCCGUUGUAAUACCAGAAGAAUUUUACAGAGCAGCAGCCAUGCAUCAAGAGAAGGGCUUCACAGAGCAGCAGCUGUGGAGGGAGAAACAGCAUGAGAACCAAGGACACCUCUAGGAAAAGAAUGAGUAGC